AUCCAGCUGAGGAGUCCCAAAUAGGACGAAAAACGCGCGUCAAACUGGAU
This 50-nucleotide non-coding RNA is filed under the name Schistosoma mattheei. Lineage: Eukaryota; Metazoa; Platyhelminthes; Trematoda; Strigeidida; Schistosomatidae. The record is from RNAcentral.